This 346-nucleotide ribosomal RNA is filed under the name uncultured bacterium. RNAcentral's name for it is "bacterial SSU rRNA". It matches the Rfam family "Bacterial small subunit ribosomal RNA", at positions 8 to 334 of the family's 1533-position model. The record is from RNAcentral.
AGAGUUUGAUUAUGGCUCAGGAUGAACGCUGGCGGCGUGCCUAACACAUGCAAGUCGAACGAAGCUCCUGCGACAGAUUCCUUCGGGAUGAAGAUGCUUGAGACUUAGUGGCGGACGGGUGAGUAACGCGUGGGUAACCUGCCCUGUACUGGGGGACAACAGUUAGAAAUGACUGCUAAUACCGCAUAAGCCUACGGAGUCGCAUGACUCAGCAGGAAAAAUUCCGGUGGUACAGGAUGGGCCCGCGUCUGAUUAGCUAGUUGGUGAGGUAAUGGCUCACCAAGGCGACGAUCAGUAGCCGGCUUGAGAGAGUGAACGGCCACAUUGGGACUGAGACACGGCCCAA